GACGAACGCUGGCGGCGUGCCUAAUACAUGCAAGUCGACCUUAGUGGCGAACGGGUGAGUAACACGUGGGUAACCUGCCCAUCAGAAGGGGAUAACACUUGGAAACAGGUGCUAAUACCGUAUACUGAUGGAUGGAUCAGCGGUGCAUUAGCUAGUUGGUGAGGUAACGGCCCACCAAGGCCACGAUGCAUAGCCGACCGGGGGGGGUAAACGGCCACAUUGGGACUGAGACACGGCCCAAACUCCUACGGGAGACGUCAGGAGGGAAUCUUCGGCAAUGGACGAAAGUCGAACCGGGCAACGCCGCGUGAGUGAAGAAGGUUUUCGGAUCGUAAAACUCUGUUGUUAGAGAAGCGGUAUCUAACCAGAAAGCCACGGCUAACUACGUGCCAGCAGCCGCGGUAAUAC
RNAcentral lists this ribosomal RNA (408 nucleotides) under uncultured bacterium. RNAcentral describes it as "partial 16S ribosomal RNA". It matches the Rfam family "Bacterial small subunit ribosomal RNA", at positions 28 to 526 of the family's 1533-position model. The record is from RNAcentral.